UGCGUAGGCGGUUAGAUAAGUCAGAGGUGAAAGCCCACAGCUCAACUGUGGAAUUGCCUUUGAUACUGUUUAACUUGAAUCAGGUUGAGGUUGGCGGAAUGUGACAUGUAGCGGUGAAAUGCAUAGAUAUGUCAUAGAACACCAAUUGCGAAGGCAGCUAACUAGACCUGUAUUGACGCUGAGGCACGAAAGCGUGGGGAGCGAACAGGAUUAGAUACCCUGGUAGUC
Molecule: ribosomal RNA, 228 nt
Filed under: uncultured bacterium
Lineage: Bacteria
Description: partial 16S ribosomal RNA
Rfam family: Bacterial small subunit ribosomal RNA
Source: RNAcentral